GACGAACGCUGGCGGCGUGCCUAAUACAUGCAAGUUGAGCGCUGAAGGUUGGUACUUGUACCAACUGGAUGAGCAGCGAACGGGUGAGUAACGCGUGGGGAAUCUGCCUUUGAGCGGGGGACAACAUUUGGAAACGAAUGCUAAUACCGCAUAAAAACUUUAAACACAAGUUUUAAGUUUGAAAGAUGCAAUUGCAUCACUCAAAGAUGAUCCCGCGUUGUAUUAGCUAGUUGGUGAGGUAAAGGCUCACCAAGGCGAUGAUACAUAGCCGACCUGAGAGGGUGAUCGGCCACAUUGGGCCUUGAACACCGCCCAAACCCCUCCGGGGGGCAGCAGUAGGGAAUUUUCGGCAAUGGACGAAAGUCUGACCGAGCAACGCCGCGGGAGUGAAGAAGGUUUUCGGAUCGUAAAACUCUGUUGGUAGAGAAAAACGUUGGUGGGAGUGGAAAGCCCAUCAAGUGCCGGUAACUCCCCAGAAAGGGACGGCUAACUACUU
This 496-nucleotide ribosomal RNA is filed under the name uncultured bacterium. Its description in RNAcentral is "partial 16S ribosomal RNA". It matches the Rfam family "Bacterial small subunit ribosomal RNA", at positions 28 to 506 of the family's 1533-position model. The record is from RNAcentral.